GAUGAACGCUAGCGGCAGGCCUAAUACAUGCAAGUCGAACGGGAUUGCGGUAGUAGCUUCCUACUACUGCAUGAGAGUGGCGCACGGGUGCGUAACGCGUGAGCAACCUACCCAUAUCAGGGGGAUAGCCCGGCGAAAGUCGGAUUAACACCGCAUAACAUCAACAGUUCGCAUGUUCAGUUGAUUAAAUAUUUAUAGGAUAUGGAUGGGCUCGCGUGACAUUAGCUAGUUGGUAGGGUAACGGCUUACCAAGGCAACGAUGUCUAGGGGCUCUGAGAGGAGAAUCCCCCACACUGGUACUGAGACACGGACCAGACUCCUACGGGAGGCAGCAGUAAGGAAUAUUGGUCAAUGGGCGCAAGCCUGAACCAGCCAUGCCGCGUGCAGGAGGACUGCCCUAUGGGUUGUAAACUGCUUUUAUCAGGGAAUAAACCCCUUUACGAGUAGAGGGUUGAAUGUACCUGAAGAAUAAGGAUCGGCUAACUCCGUG
RNAcentral lists this ribosomal RNA (490 nucleotides) under uncultured bacterium. RNAcentral describes it as "partial 16S ribosomal RNA". It matches the Rfam family "Bacterial small subunit ribosomal RNA", at positions 28 to 507 of the family's 1533-position model. The record is from RNAcentral.